CUUGCACAGUGGAUUAGUGGCGAACGGGUGAGUAACACGUGAGUAACCUGCCCUUCACUUUGGGAUAACUCCGAGAAAUCGGGGCUAAUACCGGAUAUGACAUCUUCCCUCCUGGGUUGGUGUGGAAAGCUCCGGCGGUCAGGGAUGGGCUCGCGGCCUAUCAGCUUGUUGGUGAGGUAAUGGCUCACCAAGGCUUCGACGGGUAGCCGGCCUGAGAGGGCGACCGGCCACACUGGGACUGAGAUACGGCCCAGACUCCUACGGGAGGCAGCAGUGGGGAAUAUUGCACAAUGGGCGCAAGCCUGAUGCAGCAACGCCGCGUGCGGGAUGACGGCCUUCGGGUUGUAAACCGCUUUCAGUAGGGACGAAGCUAACGUGACGGUACCUACAGAAGAAGGACCGGCUAACCUACGUGCCCAGCAGCCGCGGUGAUACGUAGGGUCCGAGCGUUGUCCGGAAUUAUUGGGCGUAAAGGGCUUGUAGGCGGUCCGUCGCGUCAGGAGUGAAAACUCGGGGCUUAAACCCCGAGCCUGCUUUUGAUACGGGCGGACUAGAGGGAUGCAGGGGAGAACGGAAUUCCUGGUGGAGCGGUGGAAUGCGCAGAUUUCAGGAGGAACACCGGUGGCGAAGGCGGUUCUCUGGGCAUCACCUGACGCUGAGAAGCGAAAGCGUGGGGAGCAAACAGGCUUAGAUACCCUGGUAGUCCACGCCGUAAACGGUGGGCACUAGGUGUGGGGGACAUUCCACGUUCUCCGUGCCGAAGCUAACGCAUUAAGUGCCCCGCCUGGGGAGUACGGCCGCAAGGCUAAAACUCAAAGGAAUUGACGGGGGCCCGCACGAGCGGCGGAGCAUGCGGAUUAAUUCGAUGCAACGCGAAGAACCUUACCUGGGUUUGACAUACACCGGAAAGCUGCAGAGAUGUAGCCCCCGCAAAGGUCGGUGUACAGGUGGUGCAUGGCUGUCGUCAGCUCGUGUCGUGAGAUGUUGGGUUAAGUCCCGCAACGAGCGCAACCCUCGUUCUAUGUUGCCAGCACGUGAUGGUGGGGACUCAUAGGAGACUGCCGGGGUCAACUCGGAGGAAGGUGGGGAUGACGUCAAGUCAUCAUGCCCCUUAAGUCCAGGGCUUCACGCAUGCUACAAUGGCCGGUACAAAGGGCUGCGAUACCGCAAGGUGGAGCGAAUCCCAAAAAGCCGGUCUCAGUUCGGAUUGGGGUCUGCAACUCGACCCCAUGAAGUCGGAG
Molecule: ribosomal RNA, 1241 nt
Filed under: uncultured bacterium
Lineage: Bacteria
Description: bacterial SSU rRNA
Rfam family: Bacterial small subunit ribosomal RNA
Source: RNAcentral